CUAAUGACACCUGAAUAAUUACUAGAUUGUUUCUGAUCAAUCACACAGGAAGACAUCACAUCCCCAUGUAUGGUCUUUCUUCUUGUGUCCCUCCACUUGACCUUGGACUCUGUGGACUUCCUUCCAUGACUUAACUGUGUGUCUGACUACCUUCCUAUUUAUUUGUUGCAGUUUUCUGUUUGUAACACCCCCCAAAGAAAUAACAUAUCCUACUCUGUAUCUAAUAGUACCACCGCCAUCAUCACAGCUUAGAUGAUGGUGGUGGCGGAGUGAGAUGAUAAAUACACGGGGAAACAAUGUAAUAAAUGCAUGUGUUAGUGAUACAGUUCUCCUGUGAGGAGUGGAUGGUUAAAAAAGCUGUUCUGUUAUAUAAUGGUAUUCAGCACUCUUGUUUGGAAGAGCUUAUAAAGCAUGAAGGGGCAAUCUGUGAUUGCUACAUCCAUUGUUUUUGUCAAUAUGCACAAGCUCAGGACAUUUGGUUGGGAAUCAUUGAUGGACAGCCAUAUUCAAACUUUGUUUUUAUUAAUAAAGAAACAUGUCUAUAAUGUAGGUUGUGUAAAUACUGUAAGAAGGAAACAAAUCCAAUUGAAUCCCUUUUUAGAUUGAAUUUUUAAGGCAGCUAAAUGUGAAAACUGUGCAAGAGCUAUGUAGACUUCCGCUAGGCAUUGUUAAUAUCCACUCACUCUUGAAUAUAACUUAUAAAUGCCUCAUGAGCUUAGUUCAACUGUCUUACCCCAAAUAUAAGCUUGUUUUACCACAUUGUUUGUAAACAAUGACAUUGUAAACAAACACUGUAUAAACAAUUCCAUUGUAAACAAACACUGUAUAAAAACAUGGUUAACUAUCUCUCUAUGAAUUCGAGAAUGGUUACAUUUCUCCAGCCCAGCCUCAUCCCUCAGCUAUUUAAUAAUUAAGUGGCAGGGUGUCAGCUUUGUUAUUCUUUGUUUUGCAGAUUUUCCCUUUAAUCCUGAGUUUUUUGGAGGGGUUUUAGCAAAGAAGAUACACAUUUAGGAUGAAUUCAGAAGUCACGUUAUGUCUCCUUAAAAGUAUCUUCUCUGUGAUAAUACACAUUUACCGGUAAUAAGGCAUGUGAUAAAACUAAGCCUAGGGUUUUGUGGAGAAAAGCAUUUACAGUCAGGUCCAUAAUUAUUGGCACCCUUGAUGAUGAUGAGUAAAAACCCACCACUGGUGUGCGUGGCCGAAGAGCUCUAUUUUCAUGUCAUCUGACCAUAGCAGCGGUUCCACGCCGUGUGCAAUUGUCGUUUAUAAAACUCCAGCUGGUGCUAUCGUCAGAUGACAUGAAAAUAGAGCUCUUUGGCCACACACACCAUUGGUGGCUUUGGCGUCAAAAACGGAAGCAUAUGCAGAAAAGUACCUUAUACCUACGUUAAAUAUGGAGGUGCAUCUUUGAUGUUAUGGGGCUAUUUUGCUUCCACACUGGUCCUGUGGCCCUUGUUAAGGUCAACAGCAUCAUGAACUUUACCAAGAACCAGGACAUUUUAGCCAAACACCUGGUUGCAUGGCCGCAAGUGGAUCUUUCAGUAAGACAAUAACCACCAGUACACAAAAACAUAAACCAUUUUUUUUAUUGACCACAAAAUCAAAAUGUUGCAAAGUCUCCAGACUUGAACCCCUGAACCCCUUUGAAAACCUGUGGCUUGAAUUGAAGAGGGUAGUCCAUAAGCACAGACAAAGGAUAGACAAAGAUCUGGAAAGAUUCUGUAUGGAAGAAUGGUCUAAGAGCCCUCUCAAUGUGUUCCCCACAAAAAGGCUCAGUGUCGUUAUCCUCUCAAAGGGAGGGUGCUGGAGUACUGAAACAGAUGCCAAUAAUUAUGACCCCUAUCGUAUCAGAUUUAUUUUAUUACUUGUUAAACAAAAUCUCUUUCUCUGAGCAAUUGUAUUAGUAUAAAAAUAUAUAAUUUUAGAACAAUGUUGAGCAUGUAAUAUAGCUCAGUAUUUGUAUUAUUUAUUUGAUACAGUAUUGUUUGCUCAUAUUUAUCAAGGGUGCCAAUAAUUAUGGACCUGACAGUACAAAGAAAUGUAGAAUCCUCUAUAUUUAGUACUGUUUCAAACAUUUGUUUGCAUUGUUUAACAUGAACAUUAUCUUGCAUCUCAUCUUUGUCUGAGAUUCUCUCUCGGGACAGAGUGGUGGAGUAGCAGGUAGGCCUAAUGGGAUGUGCACGCCUGUUUGAGGGUGUUUUAACUGCGCAGGCACUCAUCUGGUCAUGGAGAGGGUGGUAUCUUUCUGGUUUGGAUUUACCAGUAACGCAACUAUCAUGCUCAGUAUUUUUAUAAGCCUAAUGAAUAAAUAAUUCAAAAUUAAGACUUACAUUGGGGCUAGAAGAGUAUUUAAGCCGCUAUCUGGCAGGCUUCUGGAGAUUGUCCUGUUAGGGUGAAGGAAGCAAAGGUGGCAAGAAUAAGGCCUGUCCAGCAUGUCUCCUAUCCGGAGGAAAUGACAAGAGUAAAAGAAGGGAGUGGCGUUGAAGAGGCAUAGGUAACAGGGUUAGAGCAGGGGUCUCCAAACUUUUCUAGCAUGAGAGCUACUUUUAAAAAAUGUACAUGUCACAAGCUACUCAUUGUUUUCUAGCUCUUCUGCCCUGCAACUCUUCCCCUGGUCCUUGGUGUACAAGAGAAAGUAGUGCACUAUGUUUUCUGUUAAUAUACCUGGUCAAAUAAUGGUUAAUAAACAACUAAGGGGGCCCCUACAAAAUCAUUGAUUUUUUUUGCAGAUUCUUUUUAAUAUUUUCCCAAAUUAGGUUCUCCUGUUUUGAGAAUAAAAAAAAAUGUCACUCUCGAAAUUAUAAUUGUUCAUAAAGAAACAACUCAAUUGGAUGUAAGUACAUUUCAAUGGUUAAAUCACAUCAGAAUAUUUUUUUUGUCUGAAAGAAAACAAACAAAUAGAUUUUUGAGCGAACAAAUAGAUUUUUGAGUGUAAUUCCAAUUUAAUUUAAACUACUGGUAGUUCGCAAUCGACCUGUUGGAGACACCUGGAUUAGAGACAUUAGUGAAUGUUCCAUGCCAACAGAGUGACCCUGACAUGUUGCAUGUUAAGAAGGUGGACUUUGUAUUGUUGAUUACAAACUGCACAGCAUAAACAGAGGAAAUCAGAGAAAAUAGGAAUCAACACUAGUGCGGCCAGGUGUUUGUUUGGGGCUCAGGGAAUUUACAGCAGAGGCAUUUAGCCUAGGCAGCUGAUAGUGGGUGCUAGAUCUGCACUAUUGUUUAUGAUUGAUGUGCACAGCCAGUAAUACUCUCCUGUCCCCUGUGGACCAGCUUGUACAUAAAGCAUCUUCCAUUCAGGCAGCAAAGGCAUGAUUUUCCACUUUAACUAGCUUUAAAUUGCAGGCCGUCUGGAAAAAAAAAUGUGUACUGUCUUAAUAAAACACAAUCUUCCACCACAAUUUUCGGGAUUUCGGACAACUUACCCUUAGCAGAACGUGGUGUGUAACAUACUAAGUUAUCACAAAAUGGUUAUGGACAUUUUAUUUUCAGAUGGCACGCCAUUAAAGCUAGUUAAAUAGGAAAAUAAUGCCUUUGCAGCCUGAAUGGAGGAUACUUUAUUUAUGAGCAGGUCCACGGGGGACACUCGUGUAUUACUGGCUAGGCACAUCAAUCCUAAACGAUAGUGCAGAUCUAACGCCCACUAUCCUGGCAACGAAUGUUCCGCCCUCACAGGCAAUACAACUUUUCAUGAUGUAGUCCGCCCUAAAACCCCACCAAAGAAGAAGAAGCUUAUGGAGCUCUCCUAGAACAGUGGUUCCCAAACUAGCGGCUGCGACCCCAUGUGAUAUGAAAAUGGGAUUGCAGGAGAAUUGUCAAAAUCCUGGUAAAAAAAAAUGUAUGUAAUAAUAAUCAUAUUAUAAUAUCGUCUUUGUCUCUCAGAAUCAUUGUAAUGUGGUUAAUCUAAAUGGAAAGCUAUCAAACCUUAAAUCGUGGGAAAAGGCAGCACUUGACCGUUGAACUUGAAUCAUUCACAUGAUGAAUGGCUAAGUCCGCUACGCUAUGACAGCACACUAUUGCAGAGACUGAUGUUACCAGCCGCAAUUGAUAUGGUGGAAACAAUGUGUGGGGAGGCACCGAAACUUACAUCAAUACCCUUGUCAGAAAAUGUGACUGAACAACUCCAAAAUGGACGUUAGCCGUGAGGGCUGAGAUGCAUUGACUUUUGUUUGCUACAUGUUGGGGGAUGUUAUUCACGAGGACAUCAUUUUCUGUCUCACGAUUCCCGAGCAUGAAACAGCACAGGGGAUGUUCAGUGUGCUGCGUGGCUAUAUUGGCGAAAAACAGAUUCCACGGGACCGAAUGGUGGGCUUUUGCACAGAUGGGGCUUAAUCUAUCACGGGAACGGCGGGCAGCCCUCUGCACUCUAGUUCCCUCUGCCAUAUGGACACAUUAUAUGAUACAUCCACUGACCUAUAAUGGAUACACCGAGAGCAACUGGCGGCAAAAAAGCUGAGAGCAGAACUCAAGAGAUAUGCAGCAGGUUGGAUGUGACAGGAGAGAUGAGGUGCGUACUGUUGACCACACCCCCUGAUUUAGAGAAGCGCCGAGGCAACAUGCAUCAAGGACACCCAUCUUAUUAGUGAUGGUGUCACCCAUCUUCCCAAUUAUCCCAUGUGUAUUUAUACCUGUGUUCUCUGUUUGUCUGUUGCCUGUUCAUUUUGUUCCUCAAACCUACCAGUGGUUUCCCCCUUGCGCCUGCCUUGUCUAUGUUCCUGGUUUCUAUUUUUCCCGGUUUUGUCUUUUCUGCCUGCCCUGACCCUGAGCCUGCCAGCCGUCCGGUACCUUUGCCCACUAUUCUGGAUUACCGACCUCUGCCUGACCUGAGCCUGCCUGCUGUCCUGUACCUUUGCCUGCCCAUGUUCGAAUUAAUAAACUUUUGUUACUUCGACAUUAACUGCACCUGGGUCUUACCUUCAAACGUGAUAAAACCCCUGUCCUAGAAUUUCAAGGACAGGAGUUUCAAGGGAAGUGUGGCUGCGUCCAGCCCACAGGCCAGGUUUAUGCUCACUCUCUGGUCACUCUCUGGUCAUUCUCUGGUCACUCUCUGGUCACUCAGGUAUUUAGUGCAAAGUUUUGGACUUUUGCUCUUUGGAGCACUACAAGAAAAUAAAAAAACAUGCAGCUGAAGGCAAUAAACCAUUUCUCUGAUAGAAAACGGCCUCAGUGGCAUCGAUAUUAGUCAUAAACAUUUAUUUUAUUGUCAGAAUUGACAACAAAGUGUAAAUAGGAUAAUAAAGGAUAACUGAGUUUUGUAAGUGA
Molecule: long non-coding RNA, 5262 nt
Organism: Oncorhynchus keta (chum salmon)
Lineage: Eukaryota; Metazoa; Chordata; Actinopteri; Salmoniformes; Salmonidae
Exons: 3
Source: RefSeq, a predicted model, not a curated record